This 453-nucleotide ribosomal RNA is filed under the name uncultured bacterium. RNAcentral describes it as "partial 16S ribosomal RNA". It matches the Rfam family "Bacterial small subunit ribosomal RNA", at positions 29 to 507 of the family's 1533-position model. The record is from RNAcentral.
AUGAACGCUGACAGAAUGCUUAACACAUGCAAGUCAACUUGAACUUCGGUUUGGGUGGCGGACGGGUGAGUAACGCGUAAAGAACUUGCCUCACAGCUAGGGACAACAUUUGGAAACGAAUGCUAAUACCUGAUAUUAUGAUUUUAGGGCAUCCUAGAAUUAUGAAAGCUAUAUGCGCUGUGAGAGAGCUUUGCGUCCCAUUAGCUAGUUGGAGAGGUAACGGCUCACCAAGGCGAUGAUGGGUAGCCGGCCUGAGAGGGUGAACGGCCACAAGGGGACUGAGACACGGCCCUUACUCCUACGGGAGGCAGCAGUGGGGAAUAUUGGACAAUGGACCAAGAGUCUGAUCCAGCAAUUCUGUGUGCACGAUGAAGUUUUUCGGAAUGUAAGGUGCUUUCAGUUGGGAAGAAAAAAAUGACGGUACCAACAGAAGAAGUGACGGCUAAAUACGUG